CCUGCCCCUAGAGGCACUUGCAGGUGUGGCUGCUGUGUCACAUGUGCAUCAGUAGGUGGCAGAGAGGAGAAAGGAUAGGUCUAAGCUUGGUGUUAUGACCUGUGAGCCUCUGGCCUAACACUCCCUGAAAAA
Small nucleolar RNA from Mastomys coucha (southern multimammate mouse), 132 nucleotides. RefSeq annotates it as small nucleolar RNA SNORA17. NCBI's taxonomy places the organism in Eukaryota, Metazoa, Chordata, Mammalia, Rodentia, Muridae. The transcript has a single exon. The record is from RefSeq and is a predicted model, not a curated record.